This is a long non-coding RNA of Quercus lobata, 968 nucleotides long. RefSeq lists it as uncharacterized. The record is from RefSeq and is a predicted model, not a curated record. Lineage: Eukaryota; Viridiplantae; Streptophyta; Magnoliopsida; Fagales; Fagaceae. The transcript is spliced from 2 exons.
GUGACAAUUCAACAUGGUUAUAGUUGUCAAUAAAACAAUCUAAGAUGCUUUGAUCCUCGUCCUUCUAGUUGUUGUAGUCGUUGAAAGUUGAAAGCGUGAAGCUAAUGCACAAGUCUUAGAAGAGGAUCUCUAUGGCCUAUAUCCAUGCUUCUCUUUUGAGCUCCAAUGAGGAAGAAGAGUGCAUUGCAUGAUGUGGGUGGGUAGAGCAAUGGUGACAAAGUUAAUGAGGGUGAGACGGCCAACAAAAGAAAGACUGUUUGCUUUCCAACUAGCCAGCCUAGCACGGAGCUUAUCAAUGAUGAAGUUGUACACCCUUUUGUUGCGUCUGUCAGUGAGGAUGUGGGUGCCAAGGUAGUUGCCAAAGUCUCUUGUGGAGGAGAAACCAAACUCAUUCUCAACCAUCUCAAUGUUGCGGGGGGAAGUGCAAGGAGAGAAGAAGAUUUUGGAUUUUGAGUGAUUGAUUUUUUGACUGGAGGCAAGGCAGAAGGUGUCAAGGACUUUCUUGAUGGUAUGAUAGUUUUUUAAGGAGGCCGUUGCAAAGAGGAUGAGAUCGUCGGCGAAAAAAAGGUGAGUGAAGGUAGGUCCAUUUCUAGAGGCUUUGAUGCCUUUCCAAUUACCGGAUGAAACUUCUUCUUGAAUGAGCCAAGCAAGGUAUUCCAUGCAGAGGAUGAAGACGUAAGGGGAGAGGGGAUCCCCUUGUUUGAUGCCUCUAGAAGGGUGGAAGGGAUCUAGACGGUCACCAUUGAGAAGAAUUGAGAGGUUAGAAGAGGAGAUGCAAGACAUGAUAAGCAAGAUUCAAUCAAGUGGGAAUUUAAAGUAGAUAAGGGUUUGCCUAGUAAAACCCCAUUCCAAUCUGUCAAAAGCUUUCUCCAAGUCAAUUUUGAUGGCCAUAGUGCCCUUUUUGCUUUUUGAGGUGGUCAUCGAAUGUAUGAUUUCUUGAGUGAGAAUGAUAUUGUUCAUUUUAUUCA